GGCCGCGACGGCGGGGCGCGGACAGGUGGGCUGGCGGGGGGCGGGCCGCGGCCGUGUGUAGGCAGCGGAGCGGCUGCGGAACGGCGGCGGCGGUGGCGUCGGGAGCCCCGGCCCCGCGAUAAAAGGGAAGGGGCUGGGCGGCGGGCGGUGCGCGUUGCGGCACUGGGGGGGGGGAGCGUGGCUGGGAAGGAGGGAGGGAGCGAGCGAAGGAGCCGCCUCCCGCAGGAAUCCCGGGCGGGUGGCAGUAACAGUAGUAGCAGCGGCGGCAGCCGGGACGCGCGGCUCCCCCUGGCUGCGCGGCGGCGGGAGGCCGGUGAGCAUCGAGGAGCAGCCGCCGCCUCAUCCUGCGGCAGCAGCCGGCGCUGCACGGAGAACGCAGGUGGCAGUGUAGAAGCCAAGAACAAAAAUUGGCAGAAAUUACAUUCUGUGUACGAGAGAAUGAAGAGUAUACUCAUGACUAAGCACAGGAACCUGGAAAACCACAGGUUAAAUGUAAGCACCACUAACUGUGGCUAUCUAAGCCUUACUCUCUUUACACCACAAUUCCCAAGGUAUGAAAUGAAGAUCAUUUUUCUUCCUAUUUUUUUUUAAAUAGGAAAAUGGUGUUUAUUAGUAUUCUGGAUGUCAUUUUCACACUGCACCAACAGUGGUUACUAGCCUACGAAAAAGUUUGCCUCUCAGAGUUGGAGUGAAAUAGGAUACAUCAGACCAUGGCCAUGUAGUGAAUAGCAGCAUAAACCAAAAUAACAUUUUACUUGCUGAACAAAAAGCUAAUGAUCUUGUGUACUGAAUGGGAUGGAUCUGUAAAAGAAAAAGCUCUAGGUUUUGAACCAUAACUGAAGACUUUAUCUUGCUAUAUGCAAACAUGAAGAAAGGUGGACUUAAGGUUGCACGAAUGUCCUUUAUCUUAGCCUCAUAUGCCUUUUGAGUGCUCAGCUUCACACUGAGGUAGUUUUCUGCACAUAAUACAUUUUUAGAUGUACCAAUAUUUUACAGACUUGCAUGCCUAUUACUUUGUGAAUUAUUCCAUAAAAACAUAAACAAACAUACAAAGAAAAACAGGAAUACGAAUUCCAGGAUAAAUUUUACCUGAUGUAGAUUGUUCUAAAAUGCUCUAAAAUGUUAGCACCUGGCAAAUCCAUGGUUGCUCCAUCUUGAUAACAACCUGAAAGACAAAUAUAGAAAGUAAUUGAGGUAAUCUCUGUAAGAAUUGUGGUCUUCAGUCUUACUGUUGAUGUGCAAUAAACAUUACAUUUGAA
Molecule: long non-coding RNA, 1259 nt
Filed under: Phasianus colchicus (ring-necked pheasant)
Lineage: Eukaryota; Metazoa; Chordata; Aves; Galliformes; Phasianidae
Description: lncRNA (ENSPCLG00000007069.1)
Source: RNAcentral